RNAcentral lists this ribosomal RNA (554 nucleotides) under Methanomicrobiaceae archaeon 6aM. RNAcentral's name for it is "bacterial SSU rRNA". It matches the Rfam family "Archaeal small subunit ribosomal RNA", at positions 84 to 643 of the family's 1478-position model. Lineage: Archaea; Methanobacteriati; Methanobacteriota; Methanomicrobia; Methanomicrobiales; Methanomicrobiaceae. The record is from RNAcentral.
UACGGCUCAGUAACACGUGGACAACCUGCCCUGCGGUGAGGGAUAACUCCGGGAAACUGGAGAUAAUACCUCAUAGUUUACCAUCGCUGGAAUGCCUGGUAAGCGAAAGGUCCGCCGCCACAGGAUGGGUCUGCGGCCGAUUAGGUUGUUGUUGGGGUAACGGCCCAACAAGCCUGUGAUCGGUACGGGUUGUGGGAGCAAGAGCCCGGAGAUGGAUUCUGAGACACGAAUCCAGGCCCUACGGGGCGCAGCAGGCGCGAAAACUUUACAAUGCAGGCAACUGUGAUAAGGGAACCCCGAGUGCCCGUAUGGACGGGCUGUUCAGGUGCUUAAAAACCACCUGGAGAAAGGGCUGGGCAAGACCGGUGCCAGCCGCCGCGGUAAUACCGGCGGCUCGAGUGGUGGCCACUAUUACUGGGCUUAAAGCGUCCGUAGCUUGGUCGUUAAGCCUCUGGGGAAAUCUUCCGGCUCAACCGGAAGGCGUCUCAGGGGAACUGGCGGCCUAGGGAUCGGGAGAGGUGAGAGGUACUCUGGGGGUAGGAGUGAAAUCCUGU